Long non-coding RNA from Oncorhynchus tshawytscha (Chinook salmon), 1206 nucleotides. Lineage: Eukaryota; Metazoa; Chordata; Actinopteri; Salmoniformes; Salmonidae. The record is from Ensembl.
UAUUUCUGGCUCUAUGUUUCCUAUUCCUUUCUACAUGUGCAGUAGGAGGAUACUUAUGAAGGUGAAUAUGAUAACAACGGCAUAACUGGAGGCCCAGUCGUUUAACCCAAUUACUUUCCAACCGCAACGUGUUAUAAGCAAAGCAAUCAGGUGGCGAACUCCAGUAAUGAGUUCGAUUUUAUGCCAAAUUUAGAGCUCAUUACUAUUUCCAAGGCGUGGCAAAGCUGUUAAAAGGACGCAACCAUGCAUUUAUGGCUUCAGAGCACACUGGCCAGUUAUAUGAUUAAUGUUGGAGCCUCCUUAAUGACGCGUUGGAUGUGAAACACUCAUGGUUAGGUUUGGAGAGAAGGAGGAUAGCAAGACUAGCAUGUCAAGCACACAGUAAAGGCCACAUAGUUUCCAGGGUUUAAUCGGUUUUAGUCAAUAACCGAGCCUCUCACUGUCCUCAAGGCUCAAACUCUUCCUUCCCACUUCCGCAGUUGAACGGCUCGCUGGCUCAUUGUUGGGUAGCGAUGCAUGGAUACAAUGUGAGAAUGCCAAGUGAGGUUGAAACAGUUCCCAUGUGUGAAGGAGGAAGAAAGCAUAACGAACCCAAUUGAAGAUGGAAAAGAAUAACCGAUAUAUAUUUUUGCUUUUGUCGGGAUAAAGGAAAUAUUGACAUUUCAUCAAUGCAUUUACGUCUACAUUAGUUUAAAUAUGUAGGCCUGGAGGAGGACAAUAUUGAACUGUUAGACUAAUAACAUAGGUCGAAAUCUGCAUACAUUUGUUACAGUUGAGAAAAAUGUAUGUCUUAGGUCAUUUCGAUUUUCAAAAUGGAAAACACGUUUUGUCAAUGCAUGAAUGCAACAAAUAAAACAUGCCUUUAUGGAUAAUUCUAUUGAAGACGAAAGGACAAAUUACAUUUUCAUUUUAUUUCCAAAUCUAAUUGUCACUUCAAGUGUAGGCUAUCGCUAGGUGUAUCCACUAAACAGAAACAGACAAAAAAACGUAUAUUCAUUUGGUGCAUACAACCUGGGUGAGAAUAUAAAUUAUUGCAACAAAAAUGCAAACGAUCUUAAACAUGAAUCCCUAAAUACCUGCUAUGCACCCACACCUUAGCGUUGAAGCAUAGCCAUCUAGGCAGGUUCGCCACAUAAGUCCUAAAAUAAGACAUUUAUACAUAUGUUUAGUAUCUGUACCAUCAUAUUCUACUGGGAAACGUUACAC